This 492-nucleotide ribosomal RNA is filed under the name Enterocytozoon bieneusi. RNAcentral describes it as "SSU rRNA". It matches the Rfam family "Microsporidia small subunit ribosomal RNA", at positions 351 to 847 of the family's 1311-position model. Lineage: Eukaryota; Fungi; Microsporidia; Enterocytozoonidae. The record is from RNAcentral.
GAGUGUAAAGACCUUAGGGUGAAGCAAUUGGAGGGCAAGCUUUGGUGCCAGCAGCCGCGGUAACUCCAACUCCAAGAGUGUCUAUGGUGGAUGCUGCAGUUAAAGGGUCCGUAGUCGUGAAUGCAAUUAAAUGUCGUUGUUCAAUAGCGAUGAGUUUGCUAAUGUUUGCGGAACGGAUAGGGAGUGUAGUAUAGACUGGCGAAGAAUGAAAUCUCAAGACCCAGUUUGGACUAACGGAGGCGAAGGCGACACUCUUAGACGUAUCUUAGGAUCAAGGACGAAGGCAGGAGUAUCGAAAGUGAUUAGACACCGCUGUAGUUCCUGCAGUAAACUAUGCCGACAGCCUGUGUGUGAGAAUACGUGGGCGGGAGAAAUCUUAGUGUUCGGGCUCUGGGGAUAGUACGCUCGCAAGGGUGAAACUUAAAGCGAAAUUGACGGAAGGACACUACCAGGAGUGGAUUGUGCUGCUUAAUUUAACUCAACGCGGGAAAA